CCUACGGGGCGCAGCAGUGAGGAAUAUUGGUCAAUGGACGAGAGUCUGAACCAGCCAAGUAGCGUGAAGGAUGACUGCCCUAUGGGUUGUAAACUUCUUUUAUAUGGGAAUAAAAUGUUCCACGUGUGGGAUUUUGUAUGUACCAUAUGAAUAAGGAUCGGCUAACUCCGUGCCAGCAGCCGCGGUAAUACGGAGGAUCCGAGCGUUAUCCGGAUUUAUUGGGUUUAAAGGGAGCGUAGGUGGAUUGUUAAGUCAGUUGUGAAAGUUUGCGGCUCAACCGUAAAAUUGCAGUUGAAACUGGCAGGCUUGAGUACAGUAGAGGUGGGCGGAAUUCGUGGUGUAGCGGUGAAAUGCUUAGAUAUCACGAAGAACUCCGAUUGCGAAGGCAGCUCACUGGACUGCAACUGACACUGAGGCUCGAAAGUGUGGGUAUCAAACAGGAUUAGAUACCCCAGUAGUC
Molecule: ribosomal RNA, 460 nt
Filed under: uncultured bacterium
Lineage: Bacteria
Description: partial 16S ribosomal RNA
Rfam family: Bacterial small subunit ribosomal RNA
Source: RNAcentral